This is a long non-coding RNA of Frieseomelitta varia, 85 nucleotides long. RefSeq lists it as uncharacterized. NCBI's taxonomy places the organism in Eukaryota, Metazoa, Arthropoda, Insecta, Hymenoptera, Apidae. The transcript is spliced from 3 exons. The record is from RefSeq and is a predicted model, not a curated record.
AUAAUAGUGCAAUCACUAUGUUCCAUGAAACAAGCAUGCCUUUUAUUUCGAAUUUUGGUUUGUUCGACAUAUAACGUACAUCCUC